GAUGAACGCUAGCUACAGGCUUAACACAUGCAAGUCGAGGGACCGGCGCACGUGUGAGUAACACGUAUCCCACCUGCCCUUUACUCGGUGAUAGCCUUUCGAAAGAAAGAUUAAUACCCGAUGUAAAGGAUGGGGAUGCGUUCCAUUAGGUUGUUGGUGAGGUAACGGCUCACCAAGCCUUCGAUGGAUAGGGGUUCUGAGGGGAAGGUCCCCCACAUUGGAACUGAGACACGGUCCAAACUCGUACGGGAGGCAGCAGUGAGGAGUAUUGGUCAAUGGGCGUUAGCCUGAACCAGCCAAGUAGCGGGAAGGAUGAAGGCUUAUGGGUCGUAAACUUCUUUUAUAGAAGAAUAUGUAUUAGAUGAAUAAGGAUCGGCUAACUCCGUGCCAGCAGCCGCGGUAAUUC
RNAcentral lists this ribosomal RNA (406 nucleotides) under uncultured bacterium. RNAcentral describes it as "partial 16S ribosomal RNA". It matches the Rfam family "Bacterial small subunit ribosomal RNA", at positions 28 to 526 of the family's 1533-position model. The record is from RNAcentral.